Molecule: ribosomal RNA, 253 nt
Filed under: uncultured bacterium
Lineage: Bacteria
Description: partial 16S ribosomal RNA
Rfam family: Bacterial small subunit ribosomal RNA
Source: RNAcentral
UACGAAGGGGGCUAGCGUUGUUCGGAAUCACUGGGCGUAAAGGGCGCGUAGGCGGCCAUUCAAGUCAGGGGUGAAAGCCCAAGGCUCAACCUUGGAAUUGCCUUUGAUACUGUUUGGCUUGAGACCGGAAGAGGUCGGCGGAACUGCGAGUGUAGAGGUGAAAUUCGUAGAUAUUCGCAAGAACACCAGUGGCGAAGGCGGCCGACUGGUCCGGUUCUGACGCUGAGGCGCGAAAGCGUGGGGAGCAAACAGG